This 465-nucleotide ribosomal RNA is filed under the name Salmonella enterica subsp. enterica. RNAcentral's name for it is "bacterial SSU rRNA". It matches the Rfam family "Bacterial small subunit ribosomal RNA", at positions 338 to 795 of the family's 1533-position model. The record is from RNAcentral. Lineage: Bacteria; Pseudomonadati; Pseudomonadota; Gammaproteobacteria; Enterobacterales; Enterobacteriaceae.
CCUACGGGUGGCAGCAGUGAGGAAUAUUGCGCAAUGGGGGAAACCCUGACGCAGCAACGCCGCGUGGGUGAAGAAGGCCUUCGGGUCGUAAAGCCCUUUCGGACGGGACGAACGCUUCGCGGGGACAAACCGCGAAGAUUGACGGUACCGUAAGAAGAAGCACCGGCUAACUCCGUGCCAGCAGCCGCGGUAAUACGGAGGGUGCAAGCGUUGUUCGGAAUUACUGGGCGUAAAGCGCGUGUAGGCGGCCUUGUAAGUCAGAUGUGAAAGCCCUCGGCUUAACCGGGGAAGUGCGUCUGAAACUGCUUGGCUUGAGUACGGGAGAGGGAGGCGGAAUUCCCAGUGUAGAGGUGAAAUUCGUAGAUAUUGGGAGGAACACCGGUGGCGAAGGCGGCUUCCUGGACCGAUACUGACGCUGAGACGCGAAAGCGUGGGGAGCAAACAGGAUUAGAUACCCUUGUAGUC